Long non-coding RNA from Folsomia candida, 1606 nucleotides. RefSeq lists it as uncharacterized. The record is from RefSeq and is a predicted model, not a curated record. The transcript has 2 exons. NCBI's taxonomy places the organism in Eukaryota, Metazoa, Arthropoda, Collembola, Entomobryomorpha, Isotomidae.
GGGGAGGAUGGAAGAUGUACACAUUUUUCAAGCACGUAUAAAUAUAAAUAUAAACAUUGUACAAGUGAAACUGAAGUCGAGAUCAAAAUUGGACAAAAGUUGCAUUUUCAAUAAUACCGUCAUUUUCGAUUCCUUCAGUAAUAGUAAUAGAAAUCAAGAAUUGCGCAUAAGGAUGAUAAGCUGACAACAAAUAUACUAAAUUCGCGAGAUUCUGCAUGCACAUUUUGUACAAAGUGGUCAAUUUACAUUGCAUACUUAAUUAAAUGAUUGAUCAAGGUACUCAUUUCCAUUGAAUUAAAUAUGCAUAUGGCUCACAUUGUAUGAGAAAAGUUACGAAAUCCAGACUCAAUCGUAUACAGAAUUUCCUACGUUGAGCUUUCAUAUUCAGUUUCAAUAUGUACAUAUGAGUAUCCUUACAGAGUACAGACUUCUUGUCACACAUUGGGUCUGUGUGAGGAGGUGCAUAAUUUUGUUCCUCAGUAAUUGAUUAAAUAAGUGUCACACUUUGAACUGAACUUAAUUCUUUGUUUUCAUCCAAUUCCACUCUUAAUUUGUAGAAUACAUUGUAUUUUUCAUUCACCACAGAAUAGAAAAGCAUUAGCUUCCAAUUAGCCAUGUUUGUACUCGCGUUUAAAUGAAUGGGUCCUAAGUGCAUUUUAGAACGGAGAAGAAACAAAUGACAAACUUUAUUGGAAGACUGCAUCGGACUGAGAUUAAUCCAAGAAAAAAAACCUUGGAUCACUCGUCUAACCACCAAAACCCAGCCCAAACCUAUGCUAACUUUGCGCAUGAAAAAGGAAAAGUAAAAUAAACGGGAGAGAAAUUCCUCUUUAAAAUAAAUGGCUAAAGCCACACAAAGAUGUUAAGUGGGAUGGGAGAUGCAAUUAGAGGAAGUCCCAACGGACCAAUAAAAUCCCAGCCUGCACAUGUUACGUGUCCGCACUCACUCCCUCUCCAAAGCCCGAGGAGUUAAGUAACUUUGUCAAAUUUAACUACCACCAGGAAAAACCUUCGGCAUCCGAGAAAGUGCGGGUUUAAAAUUGAAAUCCCGAUACCGCACCUAAAUGCAAGGCGUGGACGUGUAUCGUUUGAUAGCUGGCAUCACCAUAAUCAUCAUCAUCGCAUCGUGAAAUACUAUUUAUAUUUACUCACCCGACUUGAAUCCAAACUUUACAAGUUUCUCUGCAUCGUACGAUUUUUCAAAGUGUGCUUCGAGCUGAUCUUCGUGUGUGUAUAUUACGAAUGGCGUUUUAAGUAAGUGGAGUUUCAUAACAAGUAUGAUUACGCCUAUAAACUGAACAUUAUCAUUUGCCACUUGGAAAAUGCGAGUGUGUUUGUUUGUCCCUUGGGCUUUCUCCCAUUUAUUUACUACUUGUUUGCAUUUCCUUCCUUCCUCCUGCACCAACGCACCACUUUCUAAUGGAAUUUACCACCUUAUUAAACUACAUACUUUUAGGAGGACGAUCAUUAUUUUAUGUGUGUUGUGGGCGUUUGAGGUGCUUUGAGUGAAUUUUAAUGAUUUGAGACUACUUCGAGUGCUUAGAAAAGUAGAGUAAGGUGAAUUAUUUGUGAAGUAUUAUUUAAAUAAAUAGAAUUUAAAAAUGAA